RNAcentral lists this long non-coding RNA (546 nucleotides) under Fukomys damarensis (Damara mole-rat). RNAcentral describes it as "lncRNA (ENSFDAG00000023710.1)". The record is from RNAcentral. Lineage: Eukaryota; Metazoa; Chordata; Mammalia; Rodentia; Bathyergidae.
CAGAAGAAUACUGUCUACCACCUGAUGGAGAAAUAGUAAUGUUCUAUAUUUCUGAAACUUUUAAUUGUGCUGGUGAAAUGAAAUCCUUUCCAUGGUGUCAGCAGAGGCCACAUGGUGAUCCGGGACCUCAGUUCCCACUCAGGGGGCUGAGGCAUCUCUACUCCUUUGACUUAGGAGGCCAGAACUUUCACCACCACCCAGCAGUAAGCACACACCCACAGUGUCAGCAGAGGCCACAUGGGGAGCAACAGUGAGACACUUCCCCUUUCCAAGGCAGAAUAGCAUCACCUGAGGCCUGGUAGGAGCCUGAAAUCCACCUCUACCCUGUAAGAUGAUGAGUCCCCUCCCUUUGGGGCAUCUGUGGAAACUAAGCAGAGAACCUGGGCUUUUGCUGCCACCUGGCAGUAUCAGGGCAAGUUGGAGUUUUUUCUCAAAGCUGGCAUCAGAGAAACCCUGCUAAAAAGGAUAUUUUAGUCAGAUCCAGGGUCUCAUAACAUAACACCCAAAAUGUCUAGGAUAAAAUAAAAAAAUCUCUCAUCAAGAAGC